This 252-nucleotide ribosomal RNA is filed under the name uncultured bacterium. RNAcentral describes it as "partial 16S ribosomal RNA". It matches the Rfam family "Bacterial small subunit ribosomal RNA", at positions 524 to 776 of the family's 1533-position model. The record is from RNAcentral.
UACGGAGUAUGCGAGCGUUAUCCGGAUUUAUUGGGUUUAAAGGGUGCGUAGGCGGGCUGUUAAGUCAGCGGUCAAAUGUCGGGGCUCAACCCCGGCCUGCCGUUGAAACUGGUGGCCUCGAGUGGGCGAGAAGUAUGCGGAAUGCGUGGUGUAGCGGUGAAAUGCAUAGAUAUCACGCAGAACUCCGAUUGCGAAGGCAGCAUACCGGCGCCCGACUGACGCUGAGGCACGAAAGCGUGGGUAUCGAACAGG